Molecule: long non-coding RNA, 602 nt
Organism: Labrus mixtus (cuckoo wrasse)
Lineage: Eukaryota; Metazoa; Chordata; Actinopteri; Labriformes; Labridae
Exons: 2
Source: RefSeq, a predicted model, not a curated record
UUAUGUAUAUUUACUGUUAUUUUAUCAAAUUUAUGUUUCCUUUGAGAAUGACCUUUUUGGCACUUUGCAGCUUCUGUACCUCCUGGGUUACCGUAGCUCCUUCCAUCUGUCCCUCACAGUGCCGUUUUGCAUUGCUGAGGGUAAGUUGUAUGUAAAAACGUUGCUGCAUCAUUACCUUAUUUACUGUGGAAAAUAAGUGAUUUAAGUUGUAAUGUUCGGUUUAUUUUAUAAACUGAUAGUAAUACAAUGUUAAUCAGUCAUUUUGUUUAGGUUUUGAGAGUUUUAUAUCACUUUGGAGACUGUUUGAAUGUAGCAGUAUGUUUUGCCUUGUAUUUUCAUACUUUCUGUUUCGUUUUACAGCCGCAUGUUGUCGUUUAUUUUGUCCACUAGGUGUCACUGUUUUACCAUUUGGUAUACUGUUUCUUUAAUGAGAUUUAUUGUUAAUAUACACUGUAAAACCAAAGUUUUUCAGCCAUUUGUAGCAGCUCUUGGUUAUAAAUAUUUACAUGUAGUUAAAAUACUGAAAUGGUGAUUGUAAUGUAUUUCUAUGUAAUAUAAAUGUGUUUUGAGCUCAGACAGUGCCGUUUUGCAUUGCUGAGGGA